RNAcentral lists this ribosomal RNA (1466 nucleotides) under uncultured bacterium. Its description in RNAcentral is "partial 16S ribosomal RNA". It matches the Rfam family "Bacterial small subunit ribosomal RNA". The record is from RNAcentral.
GAGUUUGAUCCUGGCUCAGGAUGAACGCUGGCGGCGUGCCUAACACAUGCAAGUCGAGCGAACCCUUCGGGGUGAGCGGCGGACGGGUGAGUAACGCGUGGGUAACCUGCCCUGUACACACGGAUAACAUACCGAAAGGUAUGCUAAUACGGGAUAAUAUAUGAGAGUCGCAUGGCUUUUAUAUCAAAGCUCCGGCGGUACAGGAUGGACCCGCGUCUGAUUAGCUAGUUGGUAAGGUAACGGCUUACCAAGGCAACGAUCAGUAGCCGACCUGAGAGGGUGAUCGGCCACAUUGGAACUGAGACACGGUCCAAACUCCUACGGGAGGCAGCAGUGGGGAAUAUUGCACAAUGGGCGAAAGCCUGAUGCAGCAACGCCGCGUGAGCGAUGAAGGCCUUCGGGUCGUAAAGCUCUGUCCUCAAGGAAGAUAAUGACGGUACUUGAGGAGGAAGCCCCGGCUAACUACGUGCCAGCAGCCGCGGUAAUACGUAGGGGGCUAGCGUUAUCCGGAAUUACUGGGCGUAAAGGGUGCGUAGGCGGUCUUUCAAGCCAGAAGUGAAAGGCUACGGCUCAACCGUAGUAAGCUUUUGGAACUGUAGGACUUGAGUGCAGGAGAGGAGAGUGGAAUUCCUAGUGUAGCGGUGAAAUGCGUAGAUAUUAGGAGGAACACCAGUAGCGAAGGCGGCUCUCUGGACUGUAACUGACGCUGAGGCACGAAAGCGUGGGGAGCAAACAGGAUUAGAUACCCUGGUAGUCCACGCCGUAAACGAUGAGUACUAGGUGUCGGGGGUUACCCCCCUCGGUGCCGCAGCUAACGCAUUAAGUACUCCGCCUGGGAAGUACGCUCGCAAGAGUGAAACUCAAAGGAAUUGACGGGGACCCGCACAAGUAGCGGAGCAUGUGGUUUAAUUCGAAGCAACGCGAAGAACCUUGCCUAAGCUUGACAUCCCAUUGACCUCUCCCUAAUCGGAGAUUUCCCUUCGGGGACAGUGGUGACAGGUGGUGCAUGGUUGUCGUCAGCUCGCGUCGUGAGAUGUUGGGUUAAGUCCCGCAACGAGCGCAACCCUUGCCUUUAGUUGCCAGCAUUAAGUUGGGCACUCUAGAGGGACUGCCGAGGAUAACUCGGAGGAAGGUGGGGAUGACGUCAAAUCAUCAUGCCCCUUAUGCUUAGGGCUACACACGUGCUACAAUGGGUGGUACAGAGGGUUGCCAAGCCGUGAGGUGGAGCUAAUCCCUUAAAGCCAUUCUCAGUUCGGAUUGUAGGCUGAAACUCGCCUACAUGAAGCUGGAGUUACUAGUAAUCGCAGAUCAGAAUGCUGCGGUGAAUGCGUUCCCGGGUCUUGUACACACCGCCCGUCACACCAUGGGAGUUGGGGGCGCCCGAAGCCGGUUAGCUAACCUUUUAGGAAGCGGCCGUCGAAGGUGAAACCAAUGACUGGGGUGAAGUCGUAACAAGGUAGCCGUAG